Molecule: unclassified non-coding RNA, 353 nt
Filed under: soil metagenome
Description: partial contains 5.8S ribosomal RNA, internal transcribed spacer 2, and large subunit ribosomal RNA
Rfam family: 5.8S ribosomal RNA (bases 1-120)
Source: RNAcentral
GAUGAAGAACGCAGCGAAAUGCGAUAAGUAAUGUGAAUUGCAGAAUUCAGUGAAUCAUCGAAUCUUUGAACGCACAUUGCGCCCGCCAGUAUUCUGGCGGGCAUGCCUGUUCGAGCGUCAUUACAACCCUCAGGCCCCCGGGCCUGGCGUUGGGGAUCGGCGGAAGCCCCCUGCGGGCACAACGCCGUCCCCCAAAUACAGUGGCGGUCCCGCCGCAGCUUCCAUUGCGUAGUAGCUAACACCUCUCAACUGGAGAGCGGCGCGGCCACGCCGUAAAACACCCAACUUCUGAAUGUUGACCUCGAAUCAGGUAGGAAUACCCGCUGAACUUAAGCAUAUCAAUAAGCGGAGGA